CCUACGGGUGGCAGCAGUGGGGAAUAUUGCACAAUGGGGGAAACCCUGAUGCAGCGACGCCGCGUGAGUGAAGAAGUAAUUCGUUACGUAAAGCUCUAUCAGCAGGGAAGAAACACUGACCUUACGGUCAGCAGACGGUACCUGAGUAAGACUCCCCGGCUAACUACUUGCCAGCAGCCGCGGGAAUACGUAGGUGGCAAGCGUUAUCCGGAUUUACUGGGUGUAUAGGGAGCGUAGACGGUGCGCCAAGUCUGGAGUGAAAUGCCGCAGCUUAACUGCAGAACUGCUUUGGAAACUGGCGAACUAGAGGGCGGGAGGGGUAAGUGGAAUGCCUAGUGUAGCGGUGAAAUGCGUAGAUAUUAGGAGGAACACCGGUGGCGAAGGCGGCUUACUGGACCGUAACUGACGUUGAGGCUCGAAAGCGUGGGGAGCAAACAGGAUUAGAUACCCGUGUAGUC
Molecule: ribosomal RNA, 458 nt
Filed under: uncultured bacterium
Lineage: Bacteria
Description: partial 16S ribosomal RNA
Rfam family: Bacterial small subunit ribosomal RNA
Source: RNAcentral